UCAAGAAGGGAGGUUACUAGGAAGGGCUAUGGGGCCUCCAACCCACUGCAUCCUGCUCCCCCAGGAUCCCCGACGCUACGAGGAGUGGAAGUGGUUCCGCUGCCCCACGCUGCUGGAGGUGCUGGAGCAGUUCCCGUCGGUGGCGCUGCCUGCCCCACUGCUCCUCACCCAGCUGCCUCUGCUCCAGCCCCGGUACUACUCAGUCAGCUCGGCACCCAGCACCCACCCAGGAGAGAUCCACCUCACUGUAGCUGUGCUGGCAUACAGGACUCAGGAUGGGCUGGGCCCCCUGCACUAUGGAGUCUGCUCCACGUGGCUAAGCCAGCUCAAGCCCGGAGACCCUGUGCCCUGCUUCAUCCGGGGGGCUCCCUCCUUCCGGCUGCCACCCGAUCCCAGCUUGCCCUGCAUCCUAGUGGGCCCAGGCACUGGCAUUGCCCCCUUCCGGGGAUUCUGGCAGGAGCGGCUGCAUGACAUUGAGAGCAAAGGGCUGCAGCCCACUCCCAUGACUUUGGUGUUCGGCUGCCGAUGCUCCCAACUUGACCAUCUCUACCGCGACGAGGUGCAGAACGCCCAGCAGCGCGGGGUGUUUGGCCGAGUCCUCACCGCCUUCUCCCGGGAACCUGACAACCCCAAGACCUACGUGCAGGACAUCCUGAGGACGGAGCUGGCUGCGGAGGUGCACCGCGUGCUGUGCCUCGAGCGGGGCCACAUGUUUGUCUGCGGCGAUGUCACCAUGGCAACCAACGUCCUGCAGACCGUGCAGCGCAUCCUGGCGACGGAGGGCGACAUGGAGCUGGACGAGGCCGGCGACGUCAUCGGCGUGCUGCGGGAUCAGCAACGCUACCACGAAGACAUUUUCGGGCUCACGCUGCGCACCCAGGAGGUGACAAGCCGCAUACGCACCCAGAGCUUUUCCUUGCAGGAGCGUCAGUUGCGGGGCGCAGUGCCCUGGGCGUUCGACCCUCCCGGCUCAGACACCAACAGCCCCUGAGAGCCGCCUGGCUUUCCCUUCCAGUUCCGGGAGAGCGGCUGCCCGACUUAGGUCCGCCCGACCAGGAUCAGGCCCGCUCCUCCCCUCUUGAGGUGGUGCCUUCUCACAUCUGUCCAGAGG
Molecule: small RNA, 1111 nt
Filed under: Pan troglodytes (chimpanzee)
Lineage: Eukaryota; Metazoa; Chordata; Mammalia; Primates; Hominidae
Description: processed transcript
Source: RNAcentral